RNAcentral lists this ribosomal RNA (253 nucleotides) under uncultured bacterium. RNAcentral describes it as "partial 16S ribosomal RNA". It matches the Rfam family "Bacterial small subunit ribosomal RNA", at positions 524 to 776 of the family's 1533-position model. The record is from RNAcentral.
UACGUAGGGUGCGAGCGUUGUCCGGAAUUAUUGGGCGUAAAGGGCUCGUAGGCGGUUUGUCGCGUCGGGAGUGAAAACACCGGGCUUAACUCGGUGCUUGCUUUCGAUACGGGCAGACUAGAGGUAUGCAGGGGAGAACGGAAUUCCUGGUGUAGCGGUGAAAUGCGCAGAUAUCAGGAGGAACACCGAUGGCGAAGGCGGUUCUCUGGGCAUUACCUGACGCUGAGGAGCGAAAGUGUGGGGAGCGAACAGG